Molecule: ribosomal RNA, 524 nt
Filed under: uncultured bacterium
Lineage: Bacteria
Description: partial 16S ribosomal RNA
Rfam family: Bacterial small subunit ribosomal RNA
Source: RNAcentral
GACGAACGCUGGCGGCGUGCCUAAUACAUGCAAGUCGAGCGCAGGAAGCUGACGGAACUCUUCGGAGGGAAGGCAGUGGAAUGAGCGGCGGACGGGUGAGUAACACGUAAGGAACCUGCCUCAAGGAUUGGGAUAACUCCGAGAAAUCGGAGCUAAUACCGGAUAGUUCAACGGACCGCAUGGUCCGCUGAUGAAAGGCGCUCCGGCGUCACCUUGAGAUGGCCUUGCGGUGCAUUAGCUAGUUGGUGGGGUAACGGCCCACCAGGGCGACGAUGGAUAGCCGACCUGAGAGGGGGAUCGGCCACACUGGGACUGAGACACGGCCCAGACUCCUACGGGAGGCAGCAGUAGGGAAUCUUCCACAAUGGACGAAAGUCUGAUGGAGCAACGCCGCGUGAGUGAUGAAGGUUUUCGGAUCGUAAAACUCUGUUGUAAGGGAAGAACACGUACGAGAGGGAAUGCUCGUACCUUGACGGUACCUUACGAGAAAGCCACGGCUAACUACGUGCCAGCAGCCGCGGUAA